RNAcentral lists this ribosomal RNA (1242 nucleotides) under Toxonevra carterosoma. RNAcentral's name for it is "partial 16S ribosomal RNA". Lineage: Eukaryota; Metazoa; Arthropoda; Insecta; Diptera; Pallopteridae. The record is from RNAcentral.
UCAAUAUAAAUUGAUUUAGGAUUAAUUUAUUAAUUUUGUUAUUUUUUAAAAUGAAUUAUUAAAAAUAUUUAUAAUAAUUAGAGUUUAAGUAAUUUAUGAUGAAUAAAUAAUAUUAAUUAUAAUAAAUUAGUAUUGUGAAAGAAAAUUGAAAUAUUUUGAAAAAUUUUUAUUUUUAUAGAAAUUUUAAUUUAAUGUACCUUGUGUAUCAGGGUUGAUCAAAUAAAAAAUAAAAAUAUUUAUUUUUCUCGAUUUUAAAAGAGUUAAUAAAUUAUAAAAUUUAAUGUGACAAAAUUAUUUUAAAUAAUUUAUUAGAAAUGAAAUGUUAUUCGUUUUUAAAGGUAUCUAGUUUUUUUAGAAAUAAAUUUAAUUUAUAAAUUAUAAAUUUAUUUAUUUAAUUAUUUUAAUUAAAUAAAUUUUUAAUUUAAAUAUUUUAUGGGAUAAGCUGUAAAAUAAAUUAUUAAAAAUGAUAAAUAAUUUAAUUAAAAUGUAUAUUUAAAAUUAGUAAUCAUUUGUAAGUUUGUUAUAAAUUAUUUUUAUACUUAAAUUAUUUAUUUAAUUUUAAUUAUUUAUAAAAAUGUUUAUUUUAAUUUGAUAAAUUAAGCAAUAAUGAUUAAAUUAGUAUAUUAUAAUGUUAAAAUAAUUUUAUAUGUAAGGUUUAUAUAAAGAAUUCGGCAAAAUUGUAUACUCGCCUGUUUAACAAAAACAUGUCUUUUUUGUAAUUUUUAAAAAGUCUAACCUGCCCACUGAAUAAUUUAAAUGGCCGCAGUAUAUUAACUGUGCAAAGGUAGCAUAAUCAUUAGUCUUUUAAUUGAAGGCUGGUAUGAAUGGUUGGACGAGGUAUAAACUGUUUCAUAUAAAUUAUAUAUAGAAUUUUAUUUUUUAGUCAAAAAGCUAAAAUAAAUUUAAAAGACGAGAAGACCCUAUAAAUCUUUAUAUUUUGUUUAAUUUUAAUUAUUUAGAUAUUUUUUGUUAUAAUUUUAUAAAAUAUUUUGUUGGGGUGAUAUUAAAAUUUAAUAAACUUUUAAUUUAUUAAGACAUUAAUUUAUGUUUAAUUGAUCCAUUAAUAAUGAUUAAAAAUUUAAGUUACUUUAGGGAUAACAGCGUAAUUUUUUUGGAGAGUUCAUAUCGAUAAAAAAGAUUGCGACCUCGAUGUUGGAUUAAGAUAUAAUUUUAGGUGUAGCCGCUUAAAUUUAAAGUCUGUUCGACUUUUAAAUUCUUACAUGAUCUGAGUUCAAACCGGUG